Molecule: long non-coding RNA, 301 nt
Filed under: Capsicum annuum
Lineage: Eukaryota; Viridiplantae; Streptophyta; Magnoliopsida; Solanales; Solanaceae
Description: long non-coding RNA (CANN_LNC005939)
Source: RNAcentral
GAAUAUUUUUUAAAUUCCAUUUCUCGGUACUGCUGCUACAGGAGCAUACUCGAGGAGGGAAAGUAGAGAAUGUUUUAUCUAACAUGUCAUGAUUCGUGAUACUUUUUCCGCAUAAAUCAAACUGCGAUUUAAUUCUAAACAUCGCAAAAUUAUAUUUAGUUACAUUUUUAAAGUCCUGAAACCUCAAAUAGGUCCAUUCAUGUCGAGCUUGUGGAAGAAUGACCAUCUUCAAGUAGUCGUAUCUUUCUUUUAAAUUAUUCACAAUAUGAGGGGAUCUUUAAUUGUGAGGUAUUCCAUUUUU